RNA transcript from Mus musculus (house mouse), 2333 nucleotides. It is a transcript of the gene named coiled-coil domain containing 92, with no coding region annotated. Lineage: Eukaryota; Metazoa; Chordata; Mammalia; Rodentia; Muridae. The record is from RefSeq and is marked validated. The transcript has 5 exons.
GUGCACCGCGGCGAGCGCUCGGAGGGAGCGGACGGGAUGCGACGACCGGGCGGCGUCUCUUGAGUCUCCGUGCCCCCCGCGGCAGGGCCGCCGCGCACCCGGCUCCCACCGUCCCUGCCCAUGGGCCGCGGGCCACCGCGAGAAGCAGGCCGAGCGCCGCAGCCGCCUGAGGGACCCUGGCAGGUCACCUGGAUGUCAGCAUGGCAGCCACAAACCUGGAGAACCAGCUGCACAGUGCACAGAAGAACCUGCUCUUCCUCCAGCGGGAGCACGCCAGCACACUCAAGGGGCUGCACGCCGAGAUCCGGCGGCUGCAGCAGCACUGCACAGAUCUAACAUAUGAGCUGACACUCAAAAGUUUCGAACUGACAGAGCUGGCACUCCAGAGACGCUGACUCCAGCUGACGCUCUCGCUGUUUUAACCUCAGCACCUUCAGAUUCUGGAGAAUCUUUUACACAGAGACAGCUCUUCCAGAACGACGGAGCUGAAGAGGCGCUGUGAGGAGCUGGAAGCCCAGCUGAAGGCCAAAGAGGAGGAAAACCGCAAGCUGCUGCAGGAACUGGAACAGAAGAACGCCGCCAUCGCUGUGCUGGAGAACACAGUCCGUGAGAGAGAGAAGAAGUACCUGGAGGAGCUGAAGGUGAAGAGCCACAAACUGAGCAUGCUGUCAGGUGAGUUGGAGCAACGCGCCAGCACUGUGGCCUACCUCACCUCGCAGCUGCAUGCAGCCAAGAAGAAGUUGCUGAGCUCAAGUGGCACCUCGGAUGCCAGCCCUGCCGGCAGUCCCGCGCUGGCCAGCUACAAACCCACACCCCCCAAGGACAAGCUGCCUGAGACACCCCGCCGCCGCAUGAAGAAGAGCCUGUCCGCCCCACUGCACCCCGAGUUUGAGGAGGUCUACAGGUUUGGAGCCGAGAGCCGCAAACUCCUCCUUCGGGAGCCUGUGGAUGCCAUGCCCGACCCCACCCCAUUCCUGCUGGCCCGGGAGUCUGCUGAGGUCCAGCUCAAGGAGCGGCCUCUCGUCAUCCCUCCCAUUGCCUCAGAUCGUAGCGCCACUGGGCAGCACAGCCCAGCCCGAGAUAAGCCACACAAGACGCAUGUUGGGGUGGCUCACCGCAUUCAUCAUGCCACUCCAUCACAGGCCCAGCCUGAGGGAGAGAUGAGGGCCGUGGACCAGGUGAAUGCAAGCAAGGUGGUGCGGAAGCACUCAGGGACAGACCGAACUGUGUGAGGCCUGCGGCCUGCCACCGCAGUCAUCCACGCACUGUGAGCGCCACAGGGAACCUCCUCGCCCACACCUUCCUCGCCUACCCAUGCCAAAUGUCUCCUCCUGUCGAAACCUGGCUCCUGGCUCCAUAGUGACACAAUGCUACAAUGGUGUCCCCGCUGAAGAUAUUACUGGCACUGUGGCCAACGCCUGCAUGCCAAUAGCUUGCUUCUAGCCCCACGCCAUGAGAUCUUGGCGCACUCCUAGAUACAGCCAUGGCUGAAUCACUAUGCCACCUAGAAUAUGAAUCGCCUGAAGUCAAAGCAGAGAAGGAGCUAUCCCUCCACAGAUCCAGGACAGCCUAUGAGAGCAGAGCAGCAGCCUCGGCUCCCUCCUGGAGACCCCUGCCCUGCACAGUCCCUUUACCAAGCAGCUGUGGCUCCUGAUCUUAGCAAGAUGACCUCAACCCUGAUGUUGCCCCAACCUGAUUGUGUGUUCAUAAUUUUUUUUGUUAGUUUCAUCCAGAUGUUCAGGAUCCAACAAAUGUUAUUUUCUAAACCCGCCCUCCUUUUCCUCCGAGUCUUUUUGAAGCACCGAGGGACUGUGGAGGAGGUGGUCGGGGAGGACGAAGCAGGUGGGGUGGGAGGACUUGCUGCCCAGAGCUGUUGCUGAGAUUGUUAAUGCUCCUGCGUUUCUGGCAGAAGCUGCAUUCUGUCCUGCCCAGGCGCUGCCUCCCUGUCUCACAGUGUAAGAGACGCAGCCAGUGGCCAUUUGUCCCAAGGCCACACAGAGAAGAGGUCUGGAGCUCGGGCAGGAACUGAACGCUUGAGCCUCUGUGCUCUUGCCGGAAGGAGCCAUGUGCCGGAGCAGCCGGAGGUGGAUCCCCACACCAGUGGCUUAGCAGGAAGGGAGGGAGAAUGAAUGCACUUGCCUUAAAACUCGCUCUGGCGUGUGCUCUAUCCAGAGUUCUCUAUACAAGAAGCUUGGGAAGCUGAGGCCAACCCCAGCACCCACGUGGUGCCUCACAAUUAGCUGUAACUCCAGGGACCACCUUACAGGUGGUGCACGUAUAUUCAGGCAGGCUCUCACACAUACACAGAAAUAAAAUCUUAAAAAAAAUAAAAA